Molecule: long non-coding RNA, 931 nt
Filed under: Marmota monax (woodchuck)
Lineage: Eukaryota; Metazoa; Chordata; Mammalia; Rodentia; Sciuridae
Source: RNAcentral
CUCUCCCAAGUGUUUAGUGACAUGUCACAAUAGUUCUUUCUAUUCUGUUCCCAUAGUUUAAGAACUAUUGGGUCUCAGUGUUCCUUUACACUGUUAAAAAUUGAGGACCCCAAAGAACUUUUGUAUGUGUGUAUUGUGUGUGUGUGUAUGUGUGUGUGCAUGUUGGUUUUUUAUAGUGUUUGAAAAUAAAACUGAGAAAAUUUUAUAAUACAGUACCCACCCAGUGCAUCAUGGGCAAGGGUACCUCCCAGGGGUAGGUAGCCCUAGAGGACACCCUCACAGUGCAGGAGGGAGGGAGAGGGAAAAUGGCAAAGGCUGUUUGGAGAUUGAUGGGAAUGUGGCUUUGACCUGGAGCGACCUUAAACACUUACUUUCUGGGGACUCUGAGGGUCCGUGGGCCACACUUUCAGAACCACGGGUCUGUUCCUUCACCCCCGUCCCACAAGCCUGUGUCUGGCCUCUGCCCUGUCCUGUUGCUGCCCCUGCUGUUGCUGCCCCUUGUUUUACUGAUUGGAAGUCUUCUCCUGCCUGCUGUUGGGGUCACCCAGCAGAUGCAGAAAGCUGAACCUGGAUAUCUACAAGUGUUGAGGCCAGCUCUGCCCAGAGGACCGCGGAGCCCCUGCCCCCGUCUGCUCUGCCGUCAGAGCCCUUCUUAUUAUUUCUGAGAAGACAUAAAGACAGGUGACGAUUCUUUUUCAGAACUUCUCACCUGUUUUUGUACCUUUUAUCACCUAGAUGAAGUUUACAGUCUGUUAGUCAAAUUCCAUCUUUCAAAACACCAGUUGGGAUUUUGACUGGGAUCCUAGUGACUUCUAACAUUAAUUCUGGUGACUUCUUAUAUUGUGAUCUGGCACAUCCUCACGCCUUCAUUGCCCCAUGUCCAAGCACGCGGGUGAAGAGGAUGUGAGAGAAAGGAUGUGGUCAAAUGCCC